Molecule: non-coding RNA, 1273 nt
Organism: Pelobates cultripes (western spadefoot toad)
Lineage: Eukaryota; Metazoa; Chordata; Amphibia; Anura; Pelobatidae
Source: the annotation of a GenBank genome assembly
UGGGGUUUACCCAUGACCGAGCCAGGGAGAGACGGGCGCUCUCCAUGACGGCAAAGCCUCGAGUGGACCCCUCAGCACACUCUCUGCCUACCCCCCACCCCAUGAACCGACGGGGGUUAUCCCGGUCCUCACUAGACGUCUGGGGCAGCUAGCCAGGAGCUCAACACAAGCCUGAACCAAAGCCGUGGAGGAACAGCCCUCCACAUGGCGCUUCCAAGAUGGUGGCUGGCAGCGUACUGUAAAAGCAGAGCAUGCUGCCGACACAUGCCUGAAACACAGACAGCAGGUGAGCGGAACCGCAGGCGGCGAGAGGUGAGGGGAAAGCCCUUGGGUGCAGACCACCCACAAUCUUCCUGGCCCACCCGGGCUGCAGACCACAGGGCUGAAAACCCGAAAACAUCGCCCACAUGCACGGAGGCACAAACACCAUAAGAGACGGUUGACCGUCAGAUUCUCAGUCACUCAGUCUCAGUCACUCCCGCACGGGGAGAACACUUGGGCCCCAGAGGUGGCCGAGUGUGUUGCCAGGAGAUGCAGGCCUGCACACCAGCCUGGGGCUGGAGGGACACUCUCACUCAUACCUGUGCAGCACCAAACUGCCAGAACCCACACACAGGCUCCUGCUGCUACAUGAAAGAAGGCAUCGGAUGAAAGUGACUCUACCCAUGGCCUUCUGACCUCAUUGCAAACCAACCACGUCCUACCAUGCCACACAAGCGAGAACAUGGAAUGUAACGGGCAGCAUGACACUCGAGAGGACCCCAGACCACAGUGACUAUCUACACCCUUGAAUCAGCCUAUAAUUAGCAAAGCAUGUUUAUUUCAUUCUAGUUUACGCUAUUCCAUCUAACUUGCAUUCCAGCCACAUAACUUAACCUGCUUAGCGAGCAUAACUAGUUCCAGCCUAAAGCUUAUGUACUUAUUCCAUCAUUUACCAUAUAUGCCUGCCACAUAUCACGGGACGACUAGCACACAUAGCACAUACAGUACACCAUACAUGUUCUGUUCACACAGAUACGCUUAGUUGUUUUAUCAUACUGUUUCUCACUAGUUACCCACUACCAAAGCUAAUGUAUCUACCGUAUUUACUAAGCCAGCGUCCUAAAUAUAUUUACCUAGCGUGACUUUAAUAACAAAAAUUGUGCCGAUAUUGCAUGCCACGAAAAUGUUUAUACUGUGCACUUGUCUUCGCUUGCAUCUGCUGUUGUGGCAGCACAAGCGUGUUUGUUCAACCAUGUACUGCAAAAAUAAUAAAUAAAAAUAAAUAAAAAAC